RNAcentral lists this ribosomal RNA (372 nucleotides) under uncultured organism. RNAcentral describes it as "bacterial SSU rRNA". It matches the Rfam family "Bacterial small subunit ribosomal RNA", at positions 526 to 896 of the family's 1533-position model. The record is from RNAcentral.
CGUAGGGUGCGAGCGUUAAUCGGAAUUACUGGGCGUAAAGCGUGCGCAGGCGGUUUGUUACGAUAGGCGUGAAAUCCCCGGGCUCAACCUGGGAACUGCGCUUAUGACUGGCAAGCUAGAGUACGGCAGAGGGGGGUGGAAUUCCACGUGUAGCAGUGAAAUGCGUAGAGAUGUGGAGGAACACCAAUGGCGAAGGCAGCCCCCUGGGUCGAUACUGACGCUCAUGCACGAAAGCGUGGGUAGCAAACAGGAUUAGAUACCCUGGUAGUCCACGCCCUAAACGAUGUCAACUAGGUGUUGGGAGGGUAAAACCUUUUAGUACCGGAGCUAACGCGUGAAGUUGACCGCCUGGGGAGUACGGCCGCAAGGUUA